CAUUCUUUACAGGAUGUCAACUACCCAUGGUACUAAACCUAUUAAAGCGAUAGCAACAAAUAUCACCAAACAUUCCAAGUACGACUCACAAUAGUUUUUUACUCUUAUGCUUCUUUGACAGUCAAUUAUGCAAUGAAGAGUUCUUAAUGCUGUAAUAAAGAAUUUGAAAAGCUAUAUUUCUUGGAAUCAAUGAUUAGUUUAUCAAGCAGAUCUUAUUUCUUUAAUGCACAUCACUUUUUAAUGUGAUGCUUGUUGUUUUAGGAUUUGUUGUAUCUUAUCUCAUUUGUUUUCGGAAUGUCUUUUGGCUCCUUGGGUUAUGUCAAAAAGUUCUUUUUAAUAAUUGUAAGAUAUGUGAUCCUUUUAGGGUUUGGAUAUAUUGGGUGGUUAGUUCUUCGAAUAGCAACUUUCAGGGAUAAUAUAGAUGUGUUGUCAUUCGAUGAUUUUUUAAUGAUUCUAAGCAUAAUUAUUAAACCCGGACCGGACCGGCCGGUUCAAACCGGAAACCGUUGAACCGGACCAUGGUCCGGUCCGAAUCACCUCAGAUUUAAGGAAUGCUACUGACCCAGGUAAAACCCGGAUGAACCGCCGGUUUCCCAUGGAACCGUUGGCCCAAAUACAAAAGAAACCGCCCGGUCCAUAUAUAUUAAAUCCUGAGUCCCCCAAAUUCAGAAUUCUCCUUCAUAUCACGGCAUGAAAUCGGAGAGCCCUAAACAGAGCAGCCGGCAAUCGUCCUUCGCAACCAGCAAGUUCACUCCCAAAAAUCCAAAAGCUUCAAAUUUCAAGUUGUUAUUAGAUGGAAGAAGAGGAUGUAAGUUAAAUUUUGUCAUUUUCUUUGUAAAUUUCAGUUUUCUGUCCUCAAAUUAUGUGCAAAUAUAUAUCUCCAGUUUGGUAUUUUUGGUAGAUUUCUACUUGAAUUUCGAUGCCCUACCUGUCUGUAUGUUACAGUUGUAUACUGUACUGGUUCAAUGCCCUACCUGUACGUGAUCGUAUUGGUGUUUCUUUUGAAGUAUUUGAUAGACUGUAAUUGCAAUUAGGGUCUGAUUUAACACAUGGAAAGUCAGCAGAUUGAAAGAAAUAAAUUCUAACAUGUUAGUUGUAAUCUGUUUACCGAAGCUAUUUACUUAUUUGUAAGCUGCCGUUGGUUCCUUUUUAUUUAGUCCGAUCAACAGUUUUAGUUAUUCAUGAACUUGUUUGCUUUACAUAAGCAAUGUAGUAAUGAAACAUUAGAAGCUAAUUAUUUGUUUAAACCAUUUUGGACUUGAAUUUCACAUGUUCUUUAUUUACGUUAACUUUUAAUUGAUGCUUUUACUUUUGCAAGAAUAUUUUUAAAGUAUAUGAAAUUAUCUUAUUGAACUUUUCCGUAUAACGUAUAUGUUUUAUUAUGAUUGAUUGUUGUGUUUAUUGUUCCAAAUUCAUAUUUCACUAUAUAUAAUCUAGAAUUUGUGAAAUUGGGCUACAAAUUAAUAUUUAGUUAACAAAACAAUGUGAGGUUAAUUUAGUUAUUGGUAAAAAAUGGAAUUAUAUUUUUUAUUCAACAAAAAUAGUUAAUAUUAUUUUUGAUAGGAAUUGACCCGACGGUUGAACCACCGAGUCGCCGGUUGAACCAUCGACCCAUUGACCCACUGCAUUGUCCGAGUUGACAUCCGGAUUGGGUCUGAUAACUAUGAUUCUAAGUACAUGGUGUGAGUAUUGUUCUAUGUGACCGAUUGGUUAUAUAUCUUCUUUUCCUUCUUGCCUUUCAAGAAGUUAAGUGCUCAAGAUGUUUUAGAAAAUGGCAAAAAAAUAUGUGCUCAUCAUUCUUUCAAGCUUAUAUGUUUGAGUAUGACUCUACUCAUGGACCCUAUAAGGGAAUCAUCAAUGUUGUAGAUGAAUCCAUGCUCCCGUUUGGCCCCCCAUUAAAUUAAAUUUUAUUUUUCUCUCUCCUAUUUUUAAUCACACAAGUUUUCAUAAAAUAAUAUUACUCGUAAAUUGAAAUUUUUUUCCUCCUUUUUCAACCACUCAUUUUCAAAAGAAACCUAUCCACCCAUUUUAAUUUGAAAAAAUGGGGACCAAACAUGAGCUAUUUUUGAAAACAAUGGAAGAACAUUAAAUUUAGUAGCAAAACGUAUCACCAUAAUUUCGAAUCAGAAGUUUGAUAAUUUUUCUUUACUAGCAUACUGAUUGAUACUAGAUAUAUAUAUUUGAGUCUUUUGUCUGCCUGUUCUAAUUCAAAAUCCCCUGUAUAGAGACCUAACAGAGAUUCCUUAGGGGUGAUUAUGGGGUUAACUAUCUUCUGGCAUUUUUACUACUAUUGACAUGGCCUCAACACAUAAAAACGCCUGUCGUUUCAUCUCCUCUGAUAUGUUAUGAAUAACUGUCAAAUUUAACACCAUUGAUCUUUUUCUACAAGGUGGUACUAAGAAGGUUUUAAUAUCAGCUCCAUCGGAGUACACGAGAAAACCUACAAGCCAAGCAGGGGAAUUUGUUUCCAAUGCUAGCUGUACCACCCUUGCCCCUUUUGCUCAGAUUGGAUUGCAUUCUCUAAUUUCAAGAACCACAGUUAAUUUCACUUAUCAAAUAGACAAAAAAAUAUUUUAAGAUUAUCUUUUUCUUAUAGGUGCAUGCUCUUCUUCAAUGGAUUCUUUUAAAUUAUUUAAUCUUCUUUUCUUUUUAAAACCAGUGUAGGAAGAUUACUAUAUUCGUUAAGCCUGUUUUCCAUUAAUCUGCAAAUUUAUGUAAUAUCUAAUGAUAGUUGUUGAUUGAAUUUAUAGGCUGCUGUAAAAGUACUACUUGAACUCUUUUCAUGUCCCAACCCCUAAUGUCUCUGUUGUAGACCUAACUUGUCGACUUGAGAAGAGUGCUUCUUUACGACAAAAGAUGAAUAGUUCGAAGAUUGGCUCUUCACUUUGCAGGUUAGAGUCAAACUUUGGUGUAGCAAUAUCAUCUGUAGAUAAUAUUUUGCAAGUGUUGACGAUCUACCAACUGUUCCAUAUUGGAUUCAUAUAGGAGUUUCUUUUUUAAAAUAUUCUUUUUGAAAUUUUUCUUAAGCUUGUAUUAGUACUUGAAUCCACUAAAAUCCCAUUUAUGGUAGUUCAAAAGUUUCAUUAUGAUGUUAUUGAGUACCAAUUUAAUGACAUAGCUAUUUAUUUUGCUUUUUAUAAAAUGGAAGAAGUUUAUGCAUACCUUAAACAAAACAUUGUUUCUAAUGUGAUUAUGUGGAUGGUGGAAAUAAGAUUGAGCAUUUCCUUUUUCGUUUUUUUAUUGUAAGAAAUAUUCAUCUGGAAGUCAUUGUUGAUGACUUAUUCCAUUUAUCAAACCAUUUUUCAAAUGCUUAUUUCAUCAUAAUCAUUACCUAGACAUUGUUUACUUUCUAAUUGCACUUCAUUAAGUUUACUCCAAUGCUGUAUACUAUUCUAUAUGAACUUUUUUAUCACAUCUUUUAAUCUUUUGUAUGACUACUCAAAAAAGUAGACCUAACAUUUGUUUCCAUUCUUCAAUGAAAGUUUAGGACAUAUGUAUUAUGGUUCCAAUUAUUCCCCCAUUAUAGUCCUACAACACAUCUUAUCUCGUAUUCAGAAUAUCAAUAAAAUGGAAAUGUCUAAAGGACUUGCUCCUUUAAAUACUCUAAUAUUGAAUUAUGAAUGACAUCUUCUCACUUAUGUGCAGAUAAAAUUUUACUCUCUGGGAAGCAAGAUACCAAAUUUACAUGAUGAUUUGAAAAAGAAUUGCAGUGAACUUAGGAUAUUACAAGGAAUUAAGAGAUUAUCCAUGAUUGUUGAAACUCGAGUAAGACUUCGUCAUACUUCAUGUACCAUUUAUGUCAAAGCCAUAUUAAUUUCUCUUUCAUAGUUCAAUUUACUGAAAUAAAAUAUAUUAUACAUGCAUGUUUUUAUUCUAGAUGACAAUCAUACAAAAAAUAUUCACUUUUAAGAACUUUUCUUAAUGUACUACUGAAUCCUAGACCAACUUUCAAUUGUAAAUGUAUAAAAACUACAAAAUUUGUAGUUGAAAAGACAUUCUCAUGGUACCUUAACAAACCAUGUCAUUUGCAUAUGAAAAACAAUUUGUUUGUCAUUCGUCAGUUCAUUAUCCCUAAUAUUAACUAAAAUAAUUGAUGCUCAUUUUGAUUUCUUCAUUUUGCUACUCUUGUUUUACUCAUUAUAGUUGUCACGCAUUUUUGUAAAAUCAAAUGCCCAAGAGAACUAAAAGAAAAAUGUUGCAUUACUUAUUUUCUUCAUCGCUAUUUACCUAUGAAAGAAGAAGUUCGAUUGUUUAGAGAACUUCUUGCUCUCAUGAUCUUAUUCUUUCACCUUUGGCACUCGCGUACUUUUCUGGUUAUCAGAUACCACAUCUACAAAAUAGUGAUCUUUGCAUUAGGAUUCUUCAAACUUCUUUAUCAACCUUGAGUAAGGAGUUCAAGGGGGAGGACUUAGAUUGGUAAACUGAAUCACGACUGGAUUUGUGUUCUAUUUGUUAAAGUCUACUUGGGGAUGCAGUGAUUGCACUGCAACAGGCAGUGGUGGAUGAUGAUGGAUUCAUUUCAAAGCAUACAAAUAUGAAGUAUAAGCUUAGAGAUACUUUUGGUUACGGUUGGCAACGGUUCGGUUAUGGGUCAGUUCGGCCAAAAUCAUAACCGCACCACCAAUUUUUUGACCAUACCAUAACCGCACCAUAAUCACGUAAAUCGGUUCGGUUCGUAUCUCGGUUCGGCACGGUUCGGUUCGGUUAAUAACCACUAAAAUAAAUUAUUUUUCAUAAGUUCAUCUGUCAAAUUGAUAUAAAAUAAUUUAUGAAAAAGUCAAUGAAAACAAAAACACAAUAUUCUAAACGAAAAUGCAAAUAUUAUCCAAAUUUUCAAUUGAAAAAUACAAAUUUAACAAACAAUCUUAUAAAUAUAACAAUACUAAAUUCUUCCUUCAUUCUUAAUUGUUGUGCAUUGAAAUUACUUGAUUCAUUCUUUCUCACAAGUCUUACUAGUAUAGAUCAACACUCAAAGUUGAUUCAUAUAUAGUAAAUAAGAAAUGUAAGUAGAAAAUACAUCGAUACUACCUAUUCCAGAAUGGUCUUAACUAAAAUUUAAAUAAAAAAAAUGUACCUCUUCGUCAGCUUCCUUCUCGCUAAACGUUGCACAAGCUCUAGAGUAUGAUGAAGAAGUAGAAUUUUCUACAUACAAUAGAAAAAAUUAACAAUAAAAGGAGCCGUGCGUGAGUUUGUGGUCUGUGGGGAGUAGGGUUUGCAUUUAUACAUUGUCAUACUAAUGCUAUUAUUAUGGGUUAAUGGUAAGUGGGUUGGCCGGCUGAGUCAUGUAGAUGUAAUGGGGGGAUUUUGUUUUAGGCUAGAUAGAAAAGUAGUGUAAAACUCAAUAAUCAAUUCAAUUUUUUUUUUUUUUUUUUUUAGCGGGUAAUCGGUUCGGUUUAGGUUCGACGGCGUAAAUACCAUACCCCGCACCGCCACAAAUCGGUUCAUAAAAAUAAAAAUUAUAUCCGUCCCAUUGUACUAUCGGUUCGGUUUUUUUCGCCCCAUUCGGUUCGGUUAACAGCAGUUUUCGGUUUUGACGGUUCAAAUUGCUAUACUUACUUUUGGUAGGCUCUAUGUGUUAAGUAUAUUAAACAUUAAGAAGCGUAAAAAUAAAUUUUAUUAAUUCUAAGCUUGUGAGCUCUAAUUAAAUAAUAAAGUGCUCAUUUCCAGCUGACAUAAUUUUACACUGAGACGUUCUCAUUUUUAGUGUUUGGUAUGUAUAGUUCUGUUUUAUCUUAAAAUUAUGAAUUCAAGACAAAACACACAUCUUCACUUGAGGCUAAAAAGGUAGAUACCUCAAUUUCCGUACUAACUCGCGUAAUUAGUCCACUAGCAGCCCAUAUUCAGGAAUAUGGACCUUACCAUCAGAGGAAUAUAAAGAAAAAGUGUUUUUUACCUUAUGCUACACACAACUGUGCUCGCAAAGUAAUUAAUAAAAUACAAUUGAACAUACUACACGUUUUGUUUAAGAAAUAAACUACCUUUAUUGAAUCAUUGUACAUAUCUCUCAUUAAUAGUUAACAUUAAAAACGCUAACAUUACUUUAAAAAAUAAAACAACCCGUGCAUUGCACGGGCAAAAAACUAGUAUAAAAUAUAAUUGCAUACGUUAUAUGAACUUAAGUAUUGAUGAAUUAUUUUUAUUCUACCUCAUAUAAAUUGAAUAACUAAGUUGGGGAAAAAAUUUACAUCUUUAGUGCACCUUAAGAACAGUUUUUUUUCUUUUUUAAGUAUGGUGUAAAAAAAGGGGGUUAAACCCUCAUUUGAUGGGGGGUUAAAAUCAAUAUUAUAAAUUAAUUUCAACUAUAUAUUUCAUGAAAUUUACAAUUUUUUCACCAUACAUGUUAUCAAAAUAUUCUGAAAAACCUAUUUUAAUUCCCACAAAACAAGGGCUAAAAAAAUAUGGUACUAAAAUAAAGUAAUUACGCGUAACUAAUAGUAUCACGUGUGAACCCAUAUUCUAAAAAUUCAGUUUUAUUCAAACUCAUUUACAAUAACGCAUUCUUUUAAUAAAAUGAUUUUGCACGUAAAUUUUUUUUCUUUACCACUUCCUCAAAAUUUUGCCACUUCGAAAAUCUUUUUUUAUAAAAAUAGGGCAUCCUAACACUCCAAAUAUGUUAAGAUUCCUAACAUCAGCAAAAUUUGAAUUCAACACCAAAUAUUUUACAAUAACAUACUCCGGAUCCCACCUAUGCAACUUUGAAAGUACACACUACAAAUUAUUCUAUUGACAAUUUCUAUUUUGUGGCCAGCAAUAACUAAUGUCACGUCAGCUUUUUUAAAUCCCUUCUUUUCUCCUUGUUUUUUGCCCUAUUUGACUAGCUUUAUUGUUUUCUUUAUAAAUAAGGUUCCUUACACCGCACCCAUGCGGCCAACACCUUCCCUCCAUUAUCAAUGGUAGUAUCUGUUGAUGCUAAUUUCACCUACAAUUGAACAAAUUAAAAUGUGAGUUAUGGAAUUAACAUAAAAAAUGGGAAAAAGAAAUCAAAACUAAAUUUGAAGAAUGAAGAAUGAUAAUUUCCCCUUUUUAAUUCGGCUCAAAAAAUCAAUCCAACACCACAAAGACAACACCAAUUGGAAACUUUUUCAAUCAUAGGGAGAAGUACACAAGGCAGAAGCUAGUUUUCAGAAAUGCACAAAGCAGAGGCGGGUUUUUUGGUGUGUUGAAAGUGAUGCUAAAAAACUCCAAUUUAUAGGGAAAGGAACAACAGAUUUCCUAGAAAAAAUCAGUUAGAUAGACUUUAAGAAAAUUGAAAAUGGUUACCAAGCAUAAGGGUAGUAUAACCAUUACAAACAUCUCACGUGAUUUGAAAUUAUCUCCGAAGUUGGGUAUUGAACAUGUAGUCCAUUGGACUGAUUUCCUCUAAAGAUUCAACACAAUUGAUCAAUUGUGGUGUGAAUUUAUAAUAUUUUUCAAUUUUGAGCUUAUAGCCUAUGAAGAAGAACGAGUAUCGAUUUUUCAUCAUUAAUUACGGGUUAUUUGGUUAUGACUUACUACAAUACCUGACAGAAGCCCUCUUCUCCCCUCUGAGCUCCACUUAUUUCCCGCCUCACCUUCUUUUCUUCCACCAAAAAUCCAUCCCUUUUCUACUGCUAGAACCAUGUCAUCGACUCCUCCCCUCCAGUUUUUCUGCAUCCUCAAUCGCUCCAAACAAAAAAGUUAAAUCUUUUACAGUAUCGAGCUCAAUUAAUCAAAACACCCACGAACUUUGUUCCCUGGCGGUUACAAGGAACCUGAGAUCAAGGUUCUGAAUCUCGUGCCCAGUUGAGCUCCGAGGAGGUUUUACGGGACAACAAUAAUGUUCUUGAUGUAAUUGACGAUGCAGUAUCGGAUAGAGUUGGAAUUGUGGUGCUCAAUGGCGGUGGAGCAAGUGGCUAAAAGCUAUACGAGGCUGCGUGUUUACUGAACUCGGUGAUCAGGGAUCGCGCAUACUUGUUAAUUGACGAGCGCAUUGACAUUGCAGCUGCUGUUAAUGCCACCGGAGUCUUGCUUUCUGAUUAAGGUUAUCUUUUUGGCCGGAUUGCUUAAUAGGUUCUUAGAUGUAUUACAGUUUUACUGGAUCCAUAUUGGAUUUAUCAUUAUAAUAAUGGCGUUUCAGAUUUCCGAGUGCUAACAGAUCCAGUAGUUGGAUUUGCAUUUUGAUUCUUAACACGUGCAAGUUCAAUAAUCUAGUAAUAGAUAACUUGGUGCUUAAAUAAUUUAAGGUGCAUGAUUGUUGGAAGGCCAAGUUAUGAUUGGAUUUGUGAACCUUUGAAAUUUUAGUUCGCGACAUUGGACGCUAUCAUUUCGAAAGCCUCCAAAUAUUCUGAUUUUGUACUGUACUUUGUUUUGUUGUGAUUACAUUUCAAAGGACGAGCAUGGUGGCCUCCUUGUGGUGUUUGAAUCUUUGAAAUGGAGGAGAUUAUGAAAUGAAACUCAAUCUAAAUCAUAUGUGCUGUAAAUCAACGAUGUUUCAAAUUAGAGUUGGAGAUUAUGAGAACUAUAAUAGUGCGGGAAUUCAACUGUUUUUUUAUGCAAUUUCUAUUGAGUUUUUUGUAUAAUCACGUGGAGGAAAAAAAUUUUGAUAAUCCAUUUUACAUUUCUAACAGGCUGACACUCGUAGAACACAUGGCAGAUUUGAUAUCUCCUUCGUAGUUUCUUGUUUUUCCCAUGUUUCCUGGGCUUGUUUUCUAUGAGUUCAGUUUGAUUGAGCUGACCAUCGAACAAAAUAUCUUCAGUCGAUAAAUCAUAAUAAUUGCAUGUUGCAUUUUAUGUAUUGGAUAUAUGAGGAUUUAUCAUGGAAAAUUUGAAUACUCAUGUGGAAACUACUUUAUACAUAAGUUUUCUAUUAGUAUAAAUGCCACAAUUCAUGUGGCUCUUUGAUAAUCCAUUCUGCAGUCCUACCAUGUCCGACACUUGUAGAACAUAAGGCAGCUAUGAUAUCAUUUUCACAGUGUCUUGGUCUACCUGUAUUUCCUGGGUUUCGCUUUCUAUGAGUUCAGUUUGAUUGAACUGACUGUCCACCCAAACCGAAAGACUUUAUCAGUACAUGGAUAUGGUAUCCCCCUAUUUUUUUCUUAUGUUUCUUGCUCGCUACCCUUGCGUUGUGAUGUCAAGGGGAAAAAGAAGAGUCUCCAGUUGAAAGUCUGGUCUGUUGGUCGGUUUCUUUUCCGAAUAAAUAUAUAAUCUAGCCGAGUCUAUAGAAUAAAAUUACUAACUUAAAAAAAAAGAAAAAAUGUCACUGAAUAACUAAUGAAGCAACUUAAUUUCCUCCAAAUAAACCAAACUUCAGACCUAAUCUCAAAGAUAUUUACAGUUUAAUGGAAUCUUGAAAUGACGAGUAUUAGGCACAUGAUGGUUUCCCUGAUGAUUGAUGCCUGACCGCAUUUAGACUUUUUGAAUUUUUGUAUCCACUUAGUAAUGUCUUGGUGAAGGGAGAGAACCCCAAAUCAGAAUUGCAUGUAUGGGAAAAUGCUUAAAAGACACGAAGAGAUAAGAUGACUAUCAUGGUUUCAGACCUAGGAAGUAGGUACAUAUUCUUUUUUAACAGUAUAUUUGGUGUUGUUAAACAUCUUACUUUCUACCUUGUUCAUAGCUAGGAUAGCACAUCUCUUAUUUGCUUGCGAUAAGAUUCCGAUUCGAUUAGUUGAUUUAUUUUACCUCACCAUUUAAUUUUGUAUCUGGAUUUUCCACUUCAAAAGCUUAACCCACGUACUUGUAAACUUUUCAAAGUGUAUUGUUAGUCACUUAGUCUGCAAAAGAACUAACAAGAGAUUCCUGUUUUUCUUAACAUCACCAGGGAGAGUUCAAUUCUGGCAAAUCAAGUGUCAUUAAUUCUUUUCUGGGGCAAAGAUACUUGAAGGAUGGAGUUGUUCCUACUACUAAUGAGAUCACCUUUCAUUACCUUUCAAAAAAAAAAACUAAUGAGAUCACCUUUCUAUGCUAUUCUGAGUUGGAUUAUAAUGUUUAGCAUUGUGAAAGGCACCCUGAUGGUAAAUAUAUAUGCUAUUUACCUGCUCCAGUUCAUAAAGAAGUGAGUUUCUUCUACAUUUUCUGCCCUCUUCUUCUUGGACAAGAAUGCAUUCCUAAUACUGAAAGACAUUUUUUUUCCUCGUUGAAGGAAUAUUACUCCGUGUCAUGAUGAAUAGUUAAAUUUCUCCCCAUUCUCUGCUCCUUCCAGUGGUCUGGGACAGUAUGAACAAUCUUUGAAUACAUCAUAUAAGUGGAAGAAAGGUGAUCACUUUUCUACAACUAAUGAGAUUUUUUUGCCAAACAGCUUCUUUCUGCUACUCCGAAGCUUAUUAGUGAAGAAUGCCAGCAAGCAAGAAAAGACUCGGUGAAUGAUCUUAUAAGUAGCAUGAAAUGGUAUGUAUGGAAAAUGGAAAGCGAAGCAUUUCUUGGAAGAGACAAAUUUUGUCUCUGGUAAUUAUAUGUGUACCUGUACCUUGAUCUAUCUAUUGUAUGGUUUUAUAUAUGAUCAGAAUUGAUUUAGACAAUUGUUGUUUGUACCAAAAAAUGUAGAUUAAUAACACCCAAGCACGUAUCAUCAAGCUCGCAGAAUCAACCCUGCUACUAUCGAAUCUCGACCUUGUGACUUCAAAUGUUUUUAAGGGAGAUAAAUCUGUCCCUAUGCCAGUGACCUCAGGUCUUAGAAAUGAUGCAAUUGACCCUGCCAUUUCAGAAGCAAAUGUGAGUGCUGCAAUGCCCAUUCUUUAUUCUCAAGGCCUGGAAUGUUCUUAGGAAUUUGCUCUGCUGGUGGGUAAUCAGCCUCUUUUUGAUAUUUGAGUGGAGAAGCAACAUAUAUAGAGAAACUUUGUGCAAAUUCUCUUCAUAAAGGUACACCCUUCUAUAGUCUCCUAAGAGGAGUAGAGUUAGACUUAAAUUAGUAGCCUACAUUACCGUAAGAAGAAAAAACAAUAACCAUAGGUUUAUUGUCCUUCCAACUGAAUCUUACAUUUCCCCUAAGGCGCAUGUUCGGUUUCUGUCUAUUGAUGGGUUAUUGAGUGAUUCUAAUUCAUUUUUUUAUAUUGGUGGGAAUUUACACUGGUAGUUGAUGGCUUGUGUUCAUGUUCAUCACUCCUAGCCUUUUGUUGAGGUUUAAAUACUGAUUGAUACAAUGUAUCUGCGAUAGGUUGCCGGCAGUCUCAAAUUUCCCCGUCUGAAGGCGAAAUGGGAUAGAUAAAUUUAGACGAACUGCAGAUGCCUUGGCUCGUCAGCUUGAAGAAGCAAUGCAAAAGGAGUUUUCGGAGACCACUGAAAAUCUAAACAAGUUUGCAGACUUUGCUGGCAAACCAUGUCAAGAUAUGGCACAGAAACGAGUUUAUAAACUUACUUAACACUCUUAGCAACUAUCGAGGAAAAAACUCAAAUCGAAAUCCAAAAUCUACAUGUAUCAAGGUAGCAAUGGACCUUUAUCUACUCACACUAUGGAUCAUAAGGGAAGUCAAAUAUUGUAGCAUUUGUUACUGUGAUGGAAAAAUUAUUUAUUUUAAUUAUAUUUUUUAUCAUUUUACAUUUUUAUGGUGUUUACAUUGUAGAAACACAAUUCUUA
This 11527-nucleotide long non-coding RNA is filed under the name Olea europaea subsp. europaea. The record is from RNAcentral. Lineage: Eukaryota; Viridiplantae; Streptophyta; Magnoliopsida; Lamiales; Oleaceae.